This 253-nucleotide ribosomal RNA is filed under the name uncultured bacterium. RNAcentral describes it as "partial 16S ribosomal RNA". It matches the Rfam family "Bacterial small subunit ribosomal RNA", at positions 524 to 776 of the family's 1533-position model. The record is from RNAcentral.
GACGAAGGCUGCAAGCGUUAUCCGGAUUCAUUGGGUUUAAAGGGUGCGUAGGCGGACUUGUAAGUCAUUGGUGAAAUCUCUUUGCUUAACAAAGAAACUGCCAUUGAUACUGCUAGCCUAGAGUAUAGAUGACGUUGGCGGAAUAUGACAUGUAGUGGUGAAAUACUUAGAUAUGUCAUAGAACACCGAUUGCGAAGGCAGCUAACGAAACUAUAACUGACGCUGAGGCACGAAAGUGCGGGGAUCAAACAGG